CAUUGCUCCAUUUUCAUCCUUGGACCAUUGCACACCACAAAUUCACCCUCCUUGUUGUGCAUUUCCCCACUGCCUAAUCUGAUUCUCUAGGGUUUUUGGGGCCUAUAUAUACAUGUUUACAACCCUUGGCAAAGGGUUGAACCUCCCAUAUUCAUCAUUCAUGCAGAAAAUUCGUCCAUACUCACCCUAGGCAGCAAAACACCCCAAAAACACCAUUCUAGUGCCUAGAAAACAUAACAGCCACUCCACCUUAUUCCACCAUCUUUGCCGAGUUCUCUACCACCCUCCAACCAUCAAACACUCCUCCACACUCACCCUAAACCUUUCCAUACCAUUCCCCAUCCAUUCUACACCAUAAAACUACCCAAAACCUGUCCAUAACCCAAUCUGCCGCAUGCAAGGGAAA
Molecule: long non-coding RNA, 406 nt
Filed under: Malus domestica (apple)
Lineage: Eukaryota; Viridiplantae; Streptophyta; Magnoliopsida; Rosales; Rosaceae
Description: long non-coding RNA (MDOM_LNC003080)
Source: RNAcentral